GACAGAGGUGCCAAGCGUUAGGCGGAAUCACUGGGCUUAAAGCGUGUGUAGGCGGACUUGUAAGUACCUUGUGAAAUCCCACGGCUUAACCGUGGAACUGCUCGGCAUACUGGCGGUCUUGAGCAACCUAGGGGCGAGCGGAACAAAUGGUGGAGCGGUGAAAUGCGUAGAUAUCAUUUGGAACGCCAAUGGUGAAAACAGCUCGCUGGGGGUUUGCUGACGCUGAGACACGAAAGCCAGGGGAGCGAACGGG
RNAcentral lists this ribosomal RNA (253 nucleotides) under uncultured bacterium. RNAcentral describes it as "partial 16S ribosomal RNA". It matches the Rfam family "Bacterial small subunit ribosomal RNA", at positions 524 to 776 of the family's 1533-position model. The record is from RNAcentral.